This 478-nucleotide ribosomal RNA is filed under the name uncultured bacterium. RNAcentral's name for it is "partial 16S ribosomal RNA". It matches the Rfam family "Bacterial small subunit ribosomal RNA", at positions 29 to 523 of the family's 1533-position model. The record is from RNAcentral.
AAUGAACGCUGACAGAAUGCUUAACACAUGCAAGUCUACCAAGAAUCACUUCGGUGAGGAAUGGUGGCGGACGGGUGAGUAACGCGUAAAUAAUCUGCCCUUUAGACUGGGAUAUCCUUUGGAAACGAAGGUUAAUACCGGAUAUUAUGAGAUGGACGCAUGUUCAACUUAUGAAAGCUAAAUGCACUAGAGGAGGAGUUUGCGUCCCAUUAGCUAGUUGGUGAGGUAAAGGCUCACCAAGGCCACGAUGGGUAGCCGGCCUGAGAGGGUGAACGGCCACAAGGGAACUGAGACACGGUCCUUACUCCUACGGGAGGCAGCAGUGGGGAAUAUUGGACAAUGGACCAAAAGUCUGAUCCAGCAAUUCUGUGUGCACGAUGAAGGUCUUCGGAUUGUAAAGUGCUUUCAGUAGGGAAGAAAAAAAUGACGGUACCUACAGAAGAAGCGACGGCUAAAUAUGUGCCACCCGCCGCCGUAA